This 253-nucleotide ribosomal RNA is filed under the name uncultured bacterium. RNAcentral describes it as "partial 16S ribosomal RNA". It matches the Rfam family "Bacterial small subunit ribosomal RNA", at positions 524 to 776 of the family's 1533-position model. The record is from RNAcentral.
UACGAAGGGUGCAAGCGUUACUCGGAAUUACUGGGCGUAAAGCGUGCGUAGGUGGUGAGUUAAGUCUGUCGUGAAAGCCCCGGGCUCAACCUGGGAAUGGCGAUGGAUACUGGCUCGCUAGAGUGCGGUAGAGGAGAGUGGAAUUCCCGGUGUAGCAGUGAAAUGCGUAGAGAUGUGGAGGAACACCAGUGGCGAAGGCGACUUUUUGGCCUGUAACUGACGCUGAGGCGCGAAAGCGUGGGGAGCAAACAGG